AGGGUWUCUUSUCAGUAACGWAGCUAACGCGUGAAGUUGACCGCCUGGGGAGUACGRSCGCAAGGUUUGAAACUWCAAAGGAAUUGACGGGGAMCCSCACAAGCGGUGGAUGAUGUGGUUUAAUUCGAUGCAACGRCGAAAAACCUUACCUACCCUUGAMAUGUCUGGAAUCCUGAAGAGAUUUGGGAGUGCUCGAAAGAGAGCCAGAACACAGGUGUUGCAUGGCUGUCGUCAGGUCGUGUCGUGAGAUGUUGGGUUAAGUCCCGCAACGAGCGCAACCCUUGUCAUUAGUUCAUUCGAAAGGGCACUCUAAUGAGACUGCCGGUGACAAACCGGAGGAAGGUGGGGAUGACGUCAGGUCAUCAUGGCCCUUAUGGGUAGGGCUACACACGUCAUACAAUGGCCGGGACAGAGGGCUGCCAACCCGCGAGGGGGAGCUAAUCCCAGAAAGCCGGUGGUAGUCCGGAUUGCAGUCUGCAACUCGACUGCGAGAAGUCGGAAUCGCUAGUAAUCGCGGAUCAGCUUGCCGCGGUGAAUACGUUCCCGUGUUUUGUACACACCGCCCGUCACGUUAAGGGAACCCUAGCUUUCGUUCGUCCC
RNAcentral lists this ribosomal RNA (600 nucleotides) under bacterium. RNAcentral describes it as "bacterial SSU rRNA". The record is from RNAcentral.